Molecule: ribosomal RNA, 253 nt
Filed under: uncultured bacterium
Lineage: Bacteria
Description: partial 16S ribosomal RNA
Rfam family: Bacterial small subunit ribosomal RNA
Source: RNAcentral
UACGAAGGGGGCUAGCGUUGCUCGGAAUGACUGGGCGUAAAGGGCGCGUAGGCGGAUGGCACAGUCAGAUGUGAAAUUCCCGGGCUUAACCUGGGGGCUGCAUUUGAUACGUGUGAUCUAGAGUGAGGAAGAGGGUCGUGGAAUUCCCAGUGUAGAGGUGGAAUUCGUAGAUAUUGGGAAGAACACCGGUGGCGAAGGCGGCGACCUGGUCCUUGACUGACGCUGAGGCGCGAAAGCGUGGGGAGCAAACAGG